UACGGAGGGUGCAAGCGUUAUCCGGAUUCACUGGGUUUAAAGGGAGCGCAGGCGGAUUGGUAAGUCAGUGGUGAAAGGCCUGAGCUUAACUCGGGAACUGCCAUUGAUACUAUCAGUCUUGAAUAUUGUUGAGGUUUGCGGAAUGGGUCAUGUAGCGGUGAAAUGCAUAGAUAUGACCCGGAACACCUAUUGCGAAGGCAGCAGGCUAAACAAAGAUUGACGCUGAGGCUCGAAAGCGUGGGGAUCAAACAGG
Molecule: ribosomal RNA, 253 nt
Filed under: uncultured bacterium
Lineage: Bacteria
Description: partial 16S ribosomal RNA
Rfam family: Bacterial small subunit ribosomal RNA
Source: RNAcentral